UCCAGACUCCUACGGGAGGCAGCAGUGGGGAAUAUUGGGCAAUGGACGCAAGUCUGACCCAGCAACGCCGCGUGAAGGAAGAAGGCUUUCGGGUUGUAAACUUCUUUUAAGGGGGAAGAGUAGAAGACGGUACCCCUUGAAUAAGCCACGGCUAACUACGUGCCAGCAGCCGCGGUAAUACGUAGGUGGCAAGCGUUGUCCGGAUUUACUGGGUGUAAAGGGCAUGUAGCCGGGCUGACAAGUCAGAUGUGAAAUCCGGGGGCUCAACCCCCGAACUGCAUUUGAAACUGUUGGUCUUGAGUAUCGGAGAGGCAGGCGGAAUUCCUAGUGUAGCGGUGAAAUGCGUAGAUAUUAGGAGGAACACCAGUGGCGAAGGCGGCCUGCUGGACGACAACUGACGGUGAGGCGCGAAAGCGUGGGGAGCAAACAGGAUUAGAUACCCCUGUAC
This 448-nucleotide ribosomal RNA is filed under the name uncultured bacterium. Its description in RNAcentral is "bacterial SSU rRNA". It matches the Rfam family "Bacterial small subunit ribosomal RNA", at positions 330 to 793 of the family's 1533-position model. The record is from RNAcentral.